Triticum aestivum (bread wheat) is the source of this 278-nucleotide non-coding RNA. The record is from Rfam. NCBI's taxonomy places the organism in Eukaryota, Viridiplantae, Streptophyta, Magnoliopsida, Poales, Poaceae.
CUGACAUGCGUGCGAGUCGAUGGGUUCUGAAACCUGGGAUGCGCAAGGAAGCUGACGAGCGGGAGGCCCUCACGGGCCGCACCGCUGGCCUACCCUGAUCUUCUGUGAAGGGUUCGAGUUGGAGCACGCCUGUCGGGACCCGAAAGAUGGUGAACUGUGCCUGAGCGGGGCGAAGCCAGAGGAAACUCUGGUGGAGGCUCGAAGCGAUACUGACGUGCAAAUCGUUCGUCUGACUUGGGUAUAGGGGCGAAAGACUAAUCGAACCAUCUAGUAGCUGG